Molecule: ribosomal RNA, 587 nt
Filed under: Brachybacterium sp. Z0B
Lineage: Bacteria; Bacillati; Actinomycetota; Actinomycetes; Micrococcales; Dermabacteraceae
Description: 16S ribosomal RNA
Rfam family: Bacterial small subunit ribosomal RNA
Source: RNAcentral
CUCACCAAGGCGAUGACGGGUAGCCGGCCUGAGAGGGNACCGGCCACACUGGACUGAGACACGGCCCAGACUCUACGGGAGGCAGCAGUGGGGAAUAUGCACAAUGGGGCGAAAGCCUGAUGCAGCGACGCCGCGUGAGGGAUGACGGCUUCGGGUUGUAAACCUCUUUCAGCAGGGAAGAAGCGAAAGUGACGGUACCUGCAGAAGAAGCGCCGGCUAACUACGUGCCAGCAGCCGCGGUAAUACGUAGGGYGCAAGCGUUAGUCCGGAAUUAUUGGGCGUAAAGAGCUUGUAGGUGGCUUGUCGCGUCUGYCGUGAAAAYCCGAGGCUUAACCUCGGRCGUGCGGUGGGUACGGGYAGRCUAGAGUGUNGUAGGGKSKAYUGGSAUUCCUGGUGUSGCGGUKSSAUGCGCAGAUAUCAGGAAGAACACCGAUGGCGAAGGCAGGUNGUCUGGGUUAUSACUGACACUGAGAAGCGAAAGCAUGGGAKYGAACAGGAUUAGAUACCCUGUAGUCCAUGCCGUAAACGUUGGGCACUAGAUGUGGGUGSSCAUUCACGUUUUCCGCGUCGUAGUAACGCAUUAAGUG